UAGGAAGAUCGAUGCGAGGCAACCUAACUUCUGAAUGGGCGGAUCGCUGUCCUUCAGAAACAGAAGCAAUAUAAGCUUUGUCGUCCAACUUGACUGCAGGUGGAGGCGUCGAAAACUUUUCUAAUGAUUCCAUUAAAAUGGCUUUAUAGUCAAGACAACCUCCACCAACAAUUGCCUCAUGAUAAAAUUUGGCCGAUUUUUCAUCAUCAUUCAACUUAUCUAAGCGUCCUGAUAUGUGUGUCUUUGUCAAGCGUUCUUUUGGCGACUUUUUAAAAUUUUCAAGAUAGGACCACAGAAAUUAAUAUUGACGAGUUUACAACACAAAUUAAGCAAGACUUACUGCGUUGUUUGAAGAUAUUGAUGCUGCUGUUGAAGCUGGUGAUGCCGGUGUAACCUUUACUGCCGCUGUCGAUGUCGCUGCCGCUGUCGCUGUCGCUGCCGCUGUCGCUGUCGCUGCCGCUGUCGAUGUCGCUGCCGCUGUGGAUGUCGCUGCCGCUGUCGCCGCCGCCGCUGUAGUUGAUAUUUAUAUUGUUUAGAUGCAAUUUGCUUGCGAUUUUUAUAUCGCGAUUUAGAUUUAAAGUUUUUUAUGUAAAUAUUUGUAAUUUGUAAAUUGUAUUGUCACAGAUUUACGUUAACACUUUUGAGGUUAUAAAGUAUGACAAAUUAAUAUGUAUAUUUAACUUUUAAAUUUGAUGUUGUUUUUAAGUUAUAAAAUUAAAUUAUUUAAUUAAUUUUGAAUCAAAUAUUUAAAGAAGGCUCGAAGGACCAAUGUGUACUUUGAACAAGAAUUUUUUAUUGAAAAAAAUUAAGAAAAAAAGAGAACAAUUGAAUAAGUUAAACCGCAAAGUUUGAAGGUUAAUUUAAGUAUAAGUUUAUUACAAAGGUUAAAAUAGAAUAUCCAAUUAUAACAUAUAUCUUUGCGUUAACUUUAAUUUGACAUUGAAUUCUUUUAAAUUUUCGAUAAGUUUAAUUUUACAUGCAAAGGUUGGCAAUACUGUUUUUAAAGUUGAAUUUACAUUGCUUUUAUUUAAAUUUGAUUAAUUCUA
Eupeodes corollae is the source of this 1046-nucleotide long non-coding RNA. RefSeq lists it as uncharacterized. The record is from RefSeq and is a predicted model, not a curated record. The transcript has 3 exons. NCBI's taxonomy places the organism in Eukaryota, Metazoa, Arthropoda, Insecta, Diptera, Syrphidae.